UGGCUCAGUGGUUAAGAGCACUGAAUGCUCCUCCAGAGGUCCUGGGUUCAAUUCCCAG
Cricetulus griseus (Chinese hamster) is the source of this 58-nucleotide non-coding RNA. The record is from Rfam. Lineage: Eukaryota; Metazoa; Chordata; Mammalia; Rodentia; Cricetidae.